ACAUCAUCGCCAAUGAUGGCAGGCAUGUCAAACAUGUAAUAACCUAAAUCCAAAUAUCUGUAAUGAUGUUUACAUAUUGAAUAAAGUGUGUGUAUGCCAUAGUUUGUAACUAAUUUACAUUUCUUUUUUAUAUAGUUCAAUAAUAGUCACCCUGUACAAUGGAACAAAGUUUUAUGAAUAUUUCAGAAUGUCAGAAAAUACAUUCAACUUACAGUUGAACAAGUUGGAAGUUCAUCUGAAAAAGUAAAACACACACUGGAGAAAAGCCAUCACACCAAUACAAUGGAUCACCAUUUGCCUGAUAUACUUGACUGUUGGAGAUGUGCUGAAUAUGAUAUCAUUUAGCUGUCACAAGUACACAGUAUGGUUGAUAAGACCAUAUGGGAAACCUGCAAGAUAAUUACAGACAAUGAUGAAUCAAUUGAUGCCUGCUCUGACAGAAGAAAUGUGGAAGGACAUUGCUAAUGCUUUUUAUAAAAUGUGGCAUUUUUCUGAACUUCAUAGGAGCUAUGGAUGGGAAACACAUAUGUAAUAUGGCUCCUUCAAAAACUGGAUCACUAUUGUUCAAUUGCAAACAGACAUUCUCUAUAACUUUGUUGCCUAUUGUAGGUGCUCAGUGUACUUACAUUUCUAUUGAUGUCAGGGCACAUGGAAAGAUAAUGUUACAGUUAUAGCUAACACUCUCAGACAAUAGUCUUAGUCUUUUACCUAGCUGGUUGCAUUUGUUGAUGUAAAAUCAGAAAUAUACAUUUAAUUAUUUA
Long non-coding RNA from Schistocerca gregaria, 761 nucleotides. RefSeq lists it as uncharacterized. The transcript has 2 exons. Lineage: Eukaryota; Metazoa; Arthropoda; Insecta; Orthoptera; Acrididae. The record is from RefSeq and is a predicted model, not a curated record.